Molecule: ribosomal RNA, 418 nt
Filed under: uncultured bacterium
Lineage: Bacteria
Description: partial 16S ribosomal RNA
Rfam family: Bacterial small subunit ribosomal RNA
Source: RNAcentral
GUUGGAUAAUACGCGAAAGCCUGAUCCAGUCAUGCCACGUGUGUAAAGAAGGUCUUUGUAUUGUAAAGUAAUUUAUGUUAGGAGGAAAGGUUGUGGAUUAAUACACUACAAUUUUGACGUUACCACCCGAAUAAGCACAGCCUAACUUAUUCCCAGUAGCCGCGGUAAUACGAAGGGUGCAAGCGUUAAUCGGAAUUACUGGGCGUAAAGCGCGCGUAGGUGGUUCAGUAAGAUGGGUGUGAAAUCCCCGGGCUUAACCUGGGAACUGCUUUCAUAACUGCUGAGCUAGAGUAUGGCAGAGGGUGGUAGAAUUUCAGGUGUAGCGGUGAAAUGCGUAGAUAUAGGAAGGAACGCCAGUGGCGAAGGCGACCACCUGGGCUAAUACUGACACUGAGGUGCGAAAGCGUGGGGAGCAAAC